This 72-nucleotide transfer RNA is filed under the name Bos taurus (domestic cattle). It matches the Rfam family "tRNA". Rfam says of the family: Transfer RNA (tRNA) molecules are approximately 80 nucleotides in length. Their secondary structure includes four short double-helical elements and three loops (D, anti-codon, and T loops). Further hydrogen bonds mediate the characteristic L-shaped molecular structure. tRNAs have two regions of fundamental functional importance: the anti-codon, which is responsible for specific mRNA codon recognition, and the 3' end, to which the tRNAs corresponding amino acid is attached (by aminoacyl-tRNA synthetases). tRNAs cope with the degeneracy of the genetic code in two manners: having more than one tRNA (with a specific anti-codon) for a particular amino acid; and 'wobble' base-pairing, i.e. permitting non-standard base-pairing at the 3rd anti-codon position. The record is from Rfam by way of RNAcentral. RNAcentral also lists the same sequence under 4 other names. Lineage: Eukaryota; Metazoa; Chordata; Mammalia; Artiodactyla; Bovidae.
UCCCUUGUGGCUCAGCUGGUAAAGUAUCUGCCUGCAAUGCGGGAGACCUGGGUUCAAUCCCUGGGUUGGGAA